This 369-nucleotide unclassified non-coding RNA is filed under the name uncultured Acidimicrobiia bacterium. Its description in RNAcentral is "contains 16S-23S intergenic spacer region". Lineage: Bacteria; Bacillati; Actinomycetota; Acidimicrobiia. The record is from RNAcentral.
UCCGGUUUGUCACCGGCAGUCUCAUUAGAGUGCCCUUGCGUAGCAACUAAUGAUAAGGGUUGCGCUCGUUGCGGGACUUAACCCAACAUCUCACGACACGAGCUGACGACGGCCAUGCAGCACCUGUGUAGGGCCCAAAAGGACACCGUAUCUCUACGGCUUUUCCCUAAAUGUCAAACCCAGGUAAGGUUCUUCGCGUUGCAUCGAAUUAAGCAACGUGCUCCGCCGCUUGUGCGGGCCCCCGUCAAUUCCUUUGAGUUUUAGCCUUGCGGCCGUACUCCCCAGGCGGGGCACUUAAUGCGUUAGCUGCGGCACGGAAACCGUUGAAAGUCCCCACACCUAGUGCCCAACGUUUACGGCGUGGACUAC